CCUCCACGUUUUAUUUCCCUUUGCGCUUCCUCUUCUUCUUACUCCUUCCUUUCACUCUCGCCCUCCGGCUCGGGCUCGCUCUCCGCGUCCCUCCGCUUUUGUUACCCCUCCCUCGAUCCCUCCCGCUCCCCGCCCCCGCGUGGCACUGCGGAGCCGGAGACGUGACCCGAGCGGACUCGCUUCCCCGCAGCUCCAGCCUCUCGCCGCAGAGUCGCAUGUCCUCGAUCCAGAACCUCCAAUCCUUCGACCCCUUUGCUGAUGCAACAAAGGGCGACGACUUACUCCCGGCGGGGACUGAGGAUUACAUUCAUAUAAGGAUCCAGCAACGAAACGGAAGAAAGACACUAACAACUGUUCAGGGCAUUGCAGAUGAUUAUGACAAGAAGAAACUUGUGAAAGCUUUCAAAAAGAAAUUUGCUUGUAAUGGUACUGUGAUUGAGCAUCCUGAAUACGGUGAAGUUAUCCAGCUGCAAGGUGACCAGAGGAAGAACAUUUGCCAAUUCCUCUUGGAGAUUGGCAUUGUCAAGGAAGAACAACUGAAAGUUCAUGGUUUCUAAUAUACCUGUACUUUUAUGAAGAACCCUGCAGUAUUGGUCUUACCUAUCCUGGCUCUUCUGUGAAAAAUGAAUCUUUGCAGUGAAUGGACUUCCCCAUUACUUGAACAUUUACAAUUUGAUUUGCAUGACUUCAUGAAACAGAUUUUUGAGUUCAGAAAUGAACCCAUAAGGCACUAGCAACAAUUAGGGGAGCAUUAUAUGAUGAUUUCUUUCUCCGUCUGGUCUAGACAAUUCCACUUGUAAAAAUCUAUUCUCUCAGUCUCCACAAAUACUGCCUGAUGUUACAGACCUUAACCGUUCCAAAGAAAGGAUGCUCCAGAAGAUGGUAUACUGUUAAGGUGCAAUACAUUCAGGAGGAGGAAAUGCCUCAUGCAAAGCAUAAAAUACCCACAUACCAAAUGGAAAUCCAAAAAUAAAUCUUAUGCAAGUCUUGUAGAUGAGCAGAAUAAAGUCAUUCUAGUGCAAGUUUA
Molecule: RNA transcript, 1027 nt
Organism: Passer domesticus (house sparrow)
Lineage: Eukaryota; Metazoa; Chordata; Aves; Passeriformes; Passeridae
Gene: EIF1B
Gene name: eukaryotic translation initiation factor 1B
Exons: 5
Source: RefSeq, a predicted model, not a curated record